This 458-nucleotide ribosomal RNA is filed under the name uncultured bacterium. RNAcentral's name for it is "SSU rRNA". It matches the Rfam family "Bacterial small subunit ribosomal RNA", at positions 26 to 518 of the family's 1533-position model. The record is from RNAcentral.
AGAAUCAACGCUGGCGGCGUGCCUAACACAUGCAAGUCGCACGAGAAAGGGUAGCAAUACCUGAGUAAAGUGGCGCACGGGUGAGUAACACGUGAAUCAUCUACCUCCGAGUGGGGAAUAACCUAGAGAAAUCUGGGCUAAUACCGCAUAACACUUACGAGUCAAAGCAGCAAUGCGCUUGGAGAGGAGUUCGCGGCCGAUUAGCUAGUUGGCGGGGUAAUGGCCCACCAAGGCGAUGAUCGGUAUCCGGCCUGAGAGGGCGCACGGACACACUGGAACUGAAACACGGUCCAGACUCCUACGGAGGCAGCAGUGGGGAAUUUUGCGCAAUGGGGGAAACCCUGACGCAGCAACGCCGCGUGGAGGAUGAAAUAUCUUGGUAUGUAAACUCCUUUCGAUGGGGAAGAUUAUGACGGUACCCAUAGAAGAAGCCCGGCUAACUUCGUGCCAGCAGCCGC